UAGGGAAUAUUGCUCAAUGGGCGAAAGCCUGAAGCAGCAACGCCGCGUGUGUGAUGAAGGCCUUCGGGUCGUAAAGCACUUUUCUGGGAGAUGAGAAAGGACAGUAUCCUAGGAAUAAGUCUCGGCUAACUACGUGCCAGCAGCCGCGGUAAAACGUAGGAGGCGAGCGUUAUCCGGAUUCACUGGGCGUAAAGCGCGUGCAGGUGGCGCGGUAAGUUGGGCGUGAAAGCUCCCGGCUCAACUGGGAGAGGUCGUCCAAUACUACCGUGCUUGAGAGCAGAAGAGGAAGAUGGAAUUCCCGGUGUAGUGGUGGAAUGCGUAGAUAUCGGGAGGAACACCAGUGGCGAAGGCGAUCUUCUGGUCUGUCUCUGACACUCAGACGCGACAGCUAGGGUAGUAAACGGGAUUAGAGACCCCGGUAAUCCUAGCCGUAAACGAUGUGAACUUGGCGUUGGUGGGUUAAACUCCGAUCAGUGCCGCAGC
Molecule: ribosomal RNA, 483 nt
Filed under: uncultured Chloroflexota bacterium
Lineage: Bacteria; Bacillati; Chloroflexota
Description: bacterial SSU rRNA
Rfam family: Bacterial small subunit ribosomal RNA
Source: RNAcentral